GACGAACGCUGGCGGCGCGCUUAACACAUGCAAGUCGAACGGAAAGGCCUGCUUUCCCUUGUGGAUUGCGGGUACUCGAGUGGUGAACGGGUGAGUAACACGUGAGUGAUCUGCCCCCAACUUGGGUAUAAGCCUGGGAAACUGGGUCUAAUUCCCGAUAGGACUGCAGGGUGGUGCCUGUGGUGGAAAACGAUUUUCUAGUGGUUGGGGAUGAGCUCGCGGCCUAUCAGCUUGUUGGUGGGGUAAUGGCCUACCAAGGCGGCGACGGGUAGCCGGCCUGAGAGGGUGGACGGCCACAUUGGGACUGAGAUACGGCCCAGACUCCUACGGGAGGCAGCAGUGGGGAAUAUUGCACAAGGGGCGGAAGCCUGAUGCAGCGACGCCGCGUGGGGGAUGACGGCCUUCGGGUUGUAAACUCCUUUCGACCGCGAGGAAGCCACCUGGUUGGAAGGGUGGUGACGGUAGUGGUAGAAGAAGCACCGGCUAACUACGUG
Molecule: ribosomal RNA, 494 nt
Filed under: uncultured bacterium
Lineage: Bacteria
Description: partial 16S ribosomal RNA
Rfam family: Bacterial small subunit ribosomal RNA
Source: RNAcentral